UUUUUUUUCUCUUCAAAUUUUCUCUAGUGUAAUUGUAA
This 38-nucleotide small RNA is filed under the name Arabidopsis thaliana (thale cress). RNAcentral describes it as "ATSL058300". The record is from RNAcentral. Lineage: Eukaryota; Viridiplantae; Streptophyta; Magnoliopsida; Brassicales; Brassicaceae.